UACGAAGGGGGCUAGCGUUGUUCGGAGUUACUGGGCGUAAAGGGCGCGUAGGCGGGCUUGUAAGUCAGAUGUGAAAGCCCCGGGCUCAACCCGGGAAUAGCAUUUGAUACUGCGAGGCUUGAGUCCGGGAGAGGAUGGCGGAAUUCCCAGUGUAGAGGUGAAAUUCGUAGAUAUUGGGAAGAACACCGGUGGCGAAGGCGGCCAUCUGGACCGGUACUGACGCUGAGGCGCGAAUGCGUGGGGAGCAAAUAGG
Molecule: ribosomal RNA, 253 nt
Filed under: uncultured bacterium
Lineage: Bacteria
Description: partial 16S ribosomal RNA
Rfam family: Bacterial small subunit ribosomal RNA
Source: RNAcentral